This 210-nucleotide ribosomal RNA is filed under the name uncultured bacterium. RNAcentral describes it as "partial 16S ribosomal RNA". It matches the Rfam family "Bacterial small subunit ribosomal RNA", at positions 568 to 774 of the family's 1533-position model. The record is from RNAcentral.
AGCGUAGGCGGACCGCCAAGCGUUCUGUGCAAUCCCCGGGGCCCCAACCCCCGGACCCGCAGAGCGAACUGGCGGCCUUGAGUAGUCCAGAGGCCGGCGGAAUUCCUGGUGUAGCGGUGGAAUGCGUAGAUAUCAGGAAGAACACCGAUGGCGAAGGCAGUCGGCUGGGGACUUACUGACGCUGAGGCUCGAAAGCGCGGGUAGCAAACA